UAAACGCUGGCGGCGUGCCUAACACAUGCAAGUCGAACGCCCUUUUACGCAAGUGAGAGGGAGUGGCGGACGGGUGAGUAACACGUGGGUACCUACCUUGAGGUGAGGAAUACCACCGAGAAAUCGGUGACAAGACCGCAUGACUUCGGCAACGAAGAAAGUCACGCAAGUGACGCCCCAAGAUGGGCCUGCGCCUGAUUAGCUAGUUGGUGAGGUAAUGGCUCACCAAGGCGUCGAUCAGUAGCUGGUCUGAGAGGAUGAUCAGCCACACUGGGAUUGAGAACGGCCCAGACUCCUACGGGGGCAGCAGUGAGGAAUUUUCGUCAAUGGGGGCAACCCUGAACGAGCAACGCCGCGUGC
RNAcentral lists this ribosomal RNA (360 nucleotides) under uncultured bacterium. RNAcentral describes it as "bacterial SSU rRNA". It matches the Rfam family "Bacterial small subunit ribosomal RNA", at positions 30 to 404 of the family's 1533-position model. The record is from RNAcentral.